RNAcentral lists this ribosomal RNA (253 nucleotides) under uncultured bacterium. RNAcentral's name for it is "partial 16S ribosomal RNA". It matches the Rfam family "Bacterial small subunit ribosomal RNA", at positions 524 to 776 of the family's 1533-position model. The record is from RNAcentral.
UACGGAGGGUGCAAGCGUUGUCCGGAUUUAUUGGGUUUAAAGGGUGCGUAGGUGGCCCGUUAAGUCAGUGGUGAAAUACAGCCGCUCAACGGUUGAGGUGCCAUUGAUACUGACAGGCUUGAAGCAGACAGAGGCUGCCGGAAUGGAUGGUGUAGCGGUGAAAUGCAUAGAUAUCAUCCAGAACACCGAUUGCGAAGGCAGGUGGCUAUGUCUGACUUGACACUGAGGCACGAAAGCAUGGGGAGCAAACAGG